UAAUACGGAGGGUGCAAGCGUUAUCCGGAUUUAUUGGGUUUAAAGGGUCCGCAGGCGGAACGUUAAGUCAGUGGUGAAAGCCUACAGCUUAACUGUAGAACUGCCAUUGAUACUGAAGUUCUUGAGUGUGGUUGAAGUGGGCGGAAUAUGUCAUGUAGCGGUGAAAUGCAUAGAUAUGACAUGGAACACCAAUUGCGAAAGCAGCUCACUAAACCAUUACUGACGCUCAUGGACGAAAGUGUGGGUAGCGAACAGGAUUAGAUACCCUGGUAGUCCACACCGUAAACUAUGAUCACUAGAUGUUGGCGAUAUAAUGUCAGUGUUAAAGAGAAAUCGUUAAGUGAUCCACCUGGGGAGUACGUUCGCAAGAAUG
Molecule: ribosomal RNA, 373 nt
Filed under: uncultured Bacteroidota bacterium
Lineage: Bacteria; Pseudomonadati; Bacteroidota
Description: bacterial SSU rRNA
Rfam family: Bacterial small subunit ribosomal RNA
Source: RNAcentral